RNAcentral lists this small RNA (652 nucleotides) under Pongo abelii (Sumatran orangutan). Its description in RNAcentral is "processed transcript". Lineage: Eukaryota; Metazoa; Chordata; Mammalia; Primates; Hominidae. The record is from RNAcentral.
GCUCUGGCUCGCUGCUCGCGCACACGCGCGCGCUCUCCUCCCUCGCCCCUUUCUUCCCUCUCUCCUCUCUCUCUCCCUCCAUCCCUCUCUUUCCUUCUCAGUUGGUGACUGACCCAGCAGCUCCGUCCCCUGUCUGCCGCAAGCAGUCCGCCUCCUGGUGCUGUGUGCUGCGUGCCAGCCGCUGCUCCCGCUGAGUGGAGACUCUGGCACCAGUGCCCACUGCGCUCUGCCUGCCGGUGGUGUCUGGAUUCCUCUAGGAAUCCCGGGAGGGUCUUACUGGAGGGUUGAGAGCCACCGGAUUGAAGGCGUUUGCGGUCAGAGUAAAGACGGCAGCUGCCGCAGCAUGAACCCCUGAGCUGAUGAGUCUUAUUAUAGCCCGGCUGGCGGAAGACAGAGUGCUGCUAUUCACCUCUGUGUGGGCGUCGGUGGUGCAGGGGGAAGCGGCAGGCCGUCCAGCGGCUCACACCCUACGCGGCUGCAGCUGCCAAGGGCCUGGCCCCUGCCUCCCUCGGGCCAUGGUGAGCUGUGGCGGGGCUGGAGAAACUGGGACCCAGGUGAGGGGAGCCUCCGGGGACAAGUUACAGUUGUGGCCUGUGACCUCACUCUGCUCACCUCGGACAGAUGACCUCAGUUUCUUCACCCGUAACUCAAG